RNAcentral lists this ribosomal RNA (504 nucleotides) under uncultured bacterium. RNAcentral describes it as "partial 16S ribosomal RNA". It matches the Rfam family "Bacterial small subunit ribosomal RNA", at positions 28 to 506 of the family's 1533-position model. The record is from RNAcentral.
GACGAACGCUGGCGGCGUGCCUAAUACAUGCAAGUAGAACGCACAGUUUAUACCGUAGCUUGCUACACCAUAGACUGUGAGUUGCGAACGGGUGAGUAACGCGUAGGUAACCUGCCUGGUAGCGGGGGAUAACUAUUGGAAACGAUAGCUAAUACCGCAUAAUAUUAAUUAUUGCAUGAUAAUUAAUUGAAAGGUGCAAUUGCACCACUACCAGAUGGACCUGCGUUGUAUUAGCUAGUAAGUGAGGUAACGGCUCACCUAGGCGACGAUACAUAGCCGACCUGAGAGGGUGAUCGGCCACACUGGGACUGAGACACGGCCCAGACUCCUACGGGAGGCAGCAGUAGGGAAUCUUCGGCAAUGGACGAAAGUCUGACCGAGCAACGCCGCGUGAGUGAAGAAGGUUUUCGGAUCGUAAAGCUCUGUUGUAAGAGAAGAACGGGUGUGAGAGUGGAAAGUUCACACUGUGACGGGAUCUUACCAGAAAGGGACGGCUAACUACGU